AGUGAACGCUGGCGGCGCGCUUAACACAUGCAAGUCGAGGGGUAACAGAGGUAGCUUGCUACUUGCUGACGACCGGCGGACGGGUGAGUAAUGCUUGGGAAUCUGCCUAGUCGAGGGGGACAACAGUUGGAAACGACUGCUAAUACCGCAUACGACCUACGGGUGAAAGGGGGCCUCUUCUUGAAAGCUCUCGCGACUAGAUGAGCCCAAGUGGGAUUAGCUUGUUGGUGAGGUAAGAGCUCACCAAGGCGACGAUCCCUAGCUGGUCUGAGAGGAUGAUCAGCCACACUGGAACUGAGACACGGUCCAG
Molecule: ribosomal RNA, 310 nt
Filed under: uncultured bacterium
Lineage: Bacteria
Description: bacterial SSU rRNA
Rfam family: Bacterial small subunit ribosomal RNA
Source: RNAcentral